Molecule: transfer RNA, 73 nt
Filed under: Camelus bactrianus (Bactrian camel)
Lineage: Eukaryota; Metazoa; Chordata; Mammalia; Artiodactyla; Camelidae
Also listed under: 1 other name
Rfam family: tRNA
About the family: Transfer RNA (tRNA) molecules are approximately 80 nucleotides in length. Their secondary structure includes four short double-helical elements and three loops (D, anti-codon, and T loops).
Source: Rfam by way of RNAcentral
GAGGGUGUAGCUGAGGUGGUAGAGUGUGUGCUUGGUAUGCACAAGGUCCUGGGUUCAAUCCCCAGUACCUCCA